CGACAACCUCCGAGCUGGUGGAGGGGCAGAGCGAAGGCAGCUGGAUAAAUUCAUAGCUGUGGAAUUCCUGGAUCAAAUGGUACUCGGAGAAUUAAAGCUGACUGGACUCAAUUCCUGGAAUUUUCUAGAAUGGUAGAAGUGGAAAAUAUAUUAAAGGAGACCUGCCCUGAAACGGACUUGUGCUGCAAUGUACAAACUCACCCUCUAAUGUCCCAUGGCCAAACAGCACAAGCAGAGAAGUUUCCCCUACAGCACAAAGACUCUUCGCUUUGCACGUGGAUAAACACCAGGGCCACAAACGUGCCCCACAGCACACAUUUCACCACAUCACCCAGCCUCACCCAGAGGCACACAUAUCCUCCCCGCAGCCAAAAUCUCACUAAAGGAUGCAGAUCUGCACCCCCCAUGACACAGAGACACUCUACCCCAGACACACAGACCAUCACAGCCCCUCCGACUGUCCCCACGUCACACAGAGCCUUUCCCUGGCACACGUGGAGCCCACAGACACAGCCCACAGAACACAGAUUCUUCCAAAAGCAAGCAUCUUCUCAAGGCCCAAAGACUCACUCCUGAGGUCACAGACAUGCCCUCCCACCCACCAAUAUGCCCCACGACACAACACUCUUACCACACAGCAGGGACUCAGUCCGUGGCACAUGGGUGCCCCAUGGAACAAAGGCUGUCCCCACAGCACCCAGAUUUCUCCAAUGCCCCACCCAGUAAACCCAUAGCUGAGGUCCUCCGCAGGGCGCAGACUCUGUUUGCAUCUCCCUGACCCAGCACACGGACUCCCACCAAGGGUGAGGAUUUUUCCCAGGGCACAGAGACGACCCCCAGAGCACACAGGCCCUCCUCCGGGCACAGGACCUCACCCCCCACCCCACACCAGGCACACAGCCUCCCCCAUCCCAGAACACAGUUCACUACACAGCUUGAAAAUCUGCACAGAGAGACACACACACUCUCCGCUGACAGACAGGCAAACUCCACAGCACUCAGACAAGCAGCACAGCACCCAAGCCCGCUCCUGUGGACAUGGACGUGGCCCGCAGGACACAGGCACGACUCAAAUCACAUAGACUUACCCUGCGAAACAGUCCCCCCCCCCCGCCCCCGCUGACAGCACACGGAGUGUCCCGGACACACACACAUUCUCCUUUUGGCUGAAAGAUGCUCCCCACAGCACACAGUAUACUGUCUCCAGUAUCUAGGCUCAUCCCACAAACCAGCUGUCUCCCCAGGACCCAGGCCCUCCCCCCGGGCACACAGACCCUCUCCGACUCAGCGGACUGGCCCCAGGACACACAGCCUCUCGGUGGGACACAGUCAUGUCCAUAGCACAGGGACGUGCCCGCACCACCUAGACCCUCCCCACAGCUCCAAGACUCAGCCCACAGCACCAAGAUUAAAUCCAGAGCACAGGCUCGCCCCACUGCACUCGGACAAGCUCACCCCAUCACAGAGAGAUGCAAAGACCAUCUUUACAUGUAUCCCCUCGACUGUGGCACAACGCACCAUCUUUCCCUCCAAGGCAUCAGUUGACUCUGCAACAAACACAGUCACCACACAAUGCAAACACACCCUAUGGCACCCUCAUGUGCCCUACAGCGUCCAGAGCUCCUCCAAAUAUCCGCUUCUCCAUAACGCACACUGUGGCCUUGGAUCAAGAAAGCCCCUGUCAAAUUCUUCAGACACACUCUAUGAUACAUAUACACACCUCACAACUCACAGCACUACUUCCCAGUGUGCAAACUGGCCCUACAGCGCACAGGCUUCUUCCACAACAGACACGCUCAUGCCAUGGCAGCACCUAACUUUUCCCGGAAAUGUUCAGAUUCGCCCCUCAGCGCACAGUCACCUCACAACCUCGAUACAACCUAUGAUAAAGCACAACCCUGCACUCAGUGAUGCAGAGUCAUGUCACAGGACACACUUGUCACGCAAAUUCACUUCACCCAAACCACACUCCUUAGGGUGAUUACGCAGUGCACACACACACCCCCAAACACUCACCACCCUUUGUUCUACAACCUCCGGAUUCACCCGUAACACACAGCUGGCUUUCACACCAAAGUCGGCCCAAGGAGGCCCAGAACUUCAUCUAGAUGCACAGAUUCUCCCAUCAACACACAGUCUUGCUCCACGACACACACAAACACCACAGAACCCUGAGCCUCACUCCCAAAUACUCAGUCAAGCCUUUCAAGUCAUAGAUUUGCCCCACGACAUAAUCACACCCACAAAACUUAGAAUUCACAGAAAUGCCUGUGAACACAUAGAUUUCUCCCUCAAUGCAUAGAGUUGCAACACAACAUACAUUUACCCUAAGAUAGAAAACCUAUAAAGCACAGGAGCCUUCCCCAAUAUGUAGACACACAACACACACUAUUACCUGUGCGACGCCAAGAUUUCCAUCAUAGUUUACAGAUGUGCUUUACCAUCUCACUGAGCUGCAGCCCUGGCCCUCAACACAUACCACUUGUGUAAUGGCUAAGAGCAAGGCCUCUGGACCCAGACUACUUGGGUUCGAAUCCAGGUUCCACCCCUUUCUAAUUGUGCACAUUUGUCUUCAUUUGUCAACUGUGGAUGAUGCUGGUUCCUGCCUCCAAGACUGUUGGACUAUAUGACACCAGGAGAUAGGAAGAUUGAGAGAGCUGGUGGAAGCGGGGAAGAGGGCGUCUUUCGCCACCUAGUGAC
This is a long non-coding RNA of Cervus elaphus (red deer), 2700 nucleotides long. RefSeq lists it as uncharacterized. Lineage: Eukaryota; Metazoa; Chordata; Mammalia; Artiodactyla; Cervidae. The transcript has 6 exons. The record is from RefSeq and is a predicted model, not a curated record.